RNAcentral lists this ribosomal RNA (505 nucleotides) under uncultured bacterium. RNAcentral's name for it is "partial 16S ribosomal RNA". It matches the Rfam family "Bacterial small subunit ribosomal RNA", at positions 28 to 507 of the family's 1533-position model. The record is from RNAcentral.
GACGAACGCUGGCGGCGUGCCUAAUACAUGCAAGUAGAACGCACAGUUUAUACCGUAGCUUGCUACACCAUAGACUGUGAGUUGCGAACGGGUGAGUAACGCGUAGGUAACCUGCCUGGUAGCGGGGGAUAACUAUUGGAAACGAUAGCUAAUACCGCAUAAUAUUGAUUAUUGCAUGAUAAUUGAUUGAAAGAUGCUAUUGCAUCACUACCAGAUGGACCUGCGUUGUAUUAGCUAGUAGGUGAGGUAACGGCUCACCUAGGCGACGAUACAUAGCCGACCUGGGAGGGUGAUCGGGCAAACUGGGACUGGGACAAGGCCCAGACCCCUACGGGAGGCAGCAGGAGGGAAUCUUCGGCAAUGGACGAAAGUCUGACCGAGCAACGCCGCGUGAGUGAAGAAGGUUCUCGGAUCGUAAAGCUCUGUUGUAAGAGAAGAACGGGUGUGAGAGUGGAAAGUUCACACUGUGACGGUAUCUUACCAGAAAGGGACGGCUAACUACGUG